RNAcentral lists this transfer RNA (74 nucleotides) under Synechococcus phage S-CAM3. It matches the Rfam family "tRNA". Rfam says of the family: Transfer RNA (tRNA) molecules are approximately 80 nucleotides in length. Lineage: Duplodnaviria; Heunggongvirae; Uroviricota; Caudoviricetes; Pantevenvirales; Kyanoviridae. The record is from Rfam by way of RNAcentral.
GCCAAACUAGCUCAGCUGGAUAGAGCAGCUGUUUUGUAAACAGCAGGUCAACGGUUCAAGUCCGUUGUUUGGCU